Homo sapiens (human) is the source of this 5633-nucleotide long non-coding RNA. RefSeq annotates it as cobalt protoporphyrin induced and SFPQ associated RNA transcript. The transcript is spliced from 3 exons. The record is from RefSeq and is a predicted model, not a curated record. Lineage: Eukaryota; Metazoa; Chordata; Mammalia; Primates; Hominidae.
GGCACUGUCGGAUUGACAGCUGAGCCAUUUGAGAGCCCAUGACUUGGCUGUUUUAGAAGAUGUGAUGCAUUGGCCUCCCCCUGCAGGAGUUGGGAACGCGCAGAUUCCGCGAAUCACAGUUUUCAGAUAUGGCUGAAAUUGAUAACCCAAGUGAGCAGCUCAGGGAUCAGGACCUGAGGUUUUCAGCACAAACGACAAGAGGUUCAAGUAGAAAAGCAGAAGCGGAACAUGCAAUAUGCAGCCCGUGCCUGGCUUCCCUCACUCAGCUUGACGAAAUCACAGAACAGAUUGUUCUCAAGGAGGCCCCCGUGGUGUUUUCCGGAGCUCCUCUGCCAGGUCUCCAGUUGCGGCAGGGUCCACGUCGCCCCUCCCCUUGGCUCUGGGUUGGCCUUGUCACCAACGUAGGUGGUGGGGCCACAUGGUGCCACCUGCUCCCUCUGCACACCUCUGGGCCCACCAGGUCCUAGUGGGCUGGCAUCUGCUGCGGGGGCUCUGGUGUGGGUGGAAACACUGGGUCCCCCCAGGCUCCUCCUCAUCCCCUGCUCCCAACUUCUUCCUCCAUCCCCCAACAGCCCUCAGAGCUCAAGGGAGGGGGCAUUGACAAAGGGUCUCCACCAGCCUGGUCCUCUUAGCUUUUCUGGUCUAUGAGCUCAGGCAAAAUGGCCAGGCAGGCCCCAGGCCACCUCAGCCCAGCUUAGCCCAGUCCACUCUAGCUUAGUUCAGCCUAGCCCAGUGCAACCCUGUUCACCUCAGUCCAGCCCAGCCAAGCUCAUCCCAGCCCACCUCAGUCCAGCCCAGCACAGCCCAGCCCAGCCCAGGUUAGCCCAGCCAAGCCUAGUUCAACCCAGUUCAGCCCAGCCCAGCCUAGCUCAGCCCAGCCAAGCUCAGCCCAGUUCAGCUCAGCCCAGCUCAGCCCAGCCAAGCUCAGCCCAGCUCAGCCUAGCCCAGUCUAGCUCAGCCCAGCCCAGCUCAGCCCAGCCCAGCUCAGCCUAGUCCAGUCUAGCUCAGCCCAGCCCAGCUCAGCCCAGCCCAGCUCAGCCUAGUCCAGUCUAGCUCAGCCCAGCCCAGCUCAGCCUAGCUUAGCCAAGUUCAGCCCAGCUCCCGCCCAGCCCAGCUUAGCCCUGCCCAGUUCAGCCCAGCCCAGCCCAACUCAGCUCAGCCCAGCCCAGCCCAGCUCAGCCCAGCAUGGCCCAGCCCAGGUUAGCCGAGCCAAGCCUGGUUUAACCCAGUUCAGGCCAGCCCAGCCCAGCUCAGCCCAGCCAAGCUCAGCCCAGUUCAGCCCAGCCCAGCCCAGCCCAGCCCUGCCCGGCUCAGCCCAGCCCAGCUCAGCCCAGCACAGCCCAGCCCAGCCCAGGUUAGCCCAGGUUAGCCCAGGUUAGCCCAGCCAAGCCUAGUUCAACCCAGUUCAGCCCAGCCCAGCCCAGCCCAGGUUAGCCCAGGUUAGCCCAGGUUAGCCCAGCCAAGCCUAGUUCAACCCAGUUCAGCCCAGCCCAGCCCAGGUGAGCCCAGCCAAGCCUGGUUCAACCCAGUUCAGCCCAGCCCAGCCUAGCUCAGCCCAGCCCAGUCCAGCCAGCCCAGCUCCAGGUCCAUGACUUCUAAAGCAGGAUGUGCUUUGUGGGUUCAAGCUUGUGGCAUUUGGGGAAUCACAUAUGGGGGCCUCGAGGCAGAGCAGAGAGGACUUGCAGGACUGUGCAGCUGACAGGAUUUGACAUAGAGACAACUGUGGAAACCCGAGUGUGGAAGGCGUGACUCUGGGUCUCAGCAGCCACCUGCUGGGCAGAUUACACCAGCAGCGCCCCACCGUGGGGCCAGGCGCAGGUCACGGCCAGUGCUGGGAUGUCCUGCAAAAAAUCCGGGUUGACCACACACCACCCAGGUCAGCACGUGGUCCCCAUGGUUGCUGGAGGCAGCUCAGGCUCCAGAGCACUGACUGUGUGCAUCGCUCUCGCUCCACGUUCUAAGCCCUAACACCAGUGGUUUGCAACCAGCCACGGUGGGAGUGUGUGCGGAUGCUGCAGACCAGCCCUGCCCCUUCUGAGAGUCCCUUGUUAAGCAAUUACCAGCACAUUGCUGACUGGCCGAGUCACUAACAUACUAGGGUAUUUUGAUGUUCCCCCCAGAGGACUCUCUGCCCCAUUCCUGUCCAUGCUGGGGUACUGGUUGGCACAGGGGAAGGUGGCACCUGGCUGUGGGCUGCAGGUGGUACAGAAACCUGUGCUCCCCGCGAGGAGCUGGAGUUGGAGCUGGCCACGUGUGGCAUCAUCUGUUGGAAGGCAUUGGAGACCUUGACUAGGAGCAGCCCCUGAGUGGCCUGACUGCUGGACCAGCUGCAAGCUGAGUCCUAGCCCUCGAGGAGUGGGGCCCCCAUCAUCCAGGACCUGGCGCCCGCAUCUGCAGAGGGCUGGGCUCCAUGCUGGGGCCAGAACACAGGGAGCAUGAAGGACUCAGAGACCCGCCUGCGGCCAUAGCACAGGGUAGCCAGCAGGGGACAGCUGGGCCGAGGGGGUGCCGGACGCAGGUGCCAGCCGCCUAGCAGGGCCCUCUUUCUGUCCUCUAUUCAAGGUGGCAGUCUGAAAGACCCCCCCACCCAGACAGCCCUCUGCGAUCUGCGAAGUGAGCAGAGCUGCAUGUGCUGCUCAUCCUUCACCCCUUCAUUCAUUCACUUGGAAGCACCCAGUGAGCACUGUGAAGUCGUGGGCGCUGGUCCAGUGGUGACUGAGGGCAGUGGUGGGUGCCAGGUCCAGUGGUGACCGAGGGCAGUGUCCUCAGGGACUCACGGUUGGCUGUCCUUAGGGACUCACGGUUGGCUGUGGGGACACAGUGGUGUGCACCGGGUCCAGCGGUGACCGAGGGCAGUGGUGGGUGUCGGGUCCAGUGGUGACCGAGGGCAGUGGUGGGCGACGUGUCCAGUGGCGACCGAGGGCAGUGGUGGGUGCUGGGUUCAGUGGUGACCGAGGGUGUCAGUCCUCAGGUAGUCACAGUUAGCUGUGGGGACACAGUGGUGUAUGCCAGGUCCAGUGGUGACCGAGGGCAGUGGUGGGCGCUGGUCCAUUGGUGACCAAGGGUACUCGUCUUCAGGGACUCACAGCUGGGGGGGCACCAAUGAGCAAAGAAAGAAGAAAGAACAAAAGGAAGAUGGGUGGGUGCAGCACAUGCUGCUGGGGCCAGGAGGAGCCUCACCCUGUUGUUCCAGGCCCGGCACCCCCAGCCUGUUCCGGGAAAACUGUCUGGCAAGGCAGGCCUGACCUUGCCCAGGCCACGCUGGCCCCUCUCCCUCUGAACCUCGUGGCUCAUGGCCCAGGACCCGAUGGCAGCGAGCCCAUGGGGGUGAGCCUGGGAAGGAUGCUCUGUGUGGAUGGGGAGUGGCAGGGGCAGGAUUGUGGUCUGGGCUUAGGAGGGGGAGUCCUGCGUGCCCCGGGGAGGCUGACUUUUCGGCAUUAGAAGGAAAUUUGCCUUGAAAAAGAACCUGGGACAGUGCCUGAAAGACACAACUGGGAGGGUCCGAGGCUGGCCAACCCCAGAACUGAGUUCUUGGCCAGCUGCCCAGGGCACCUGGCUUGGUAGGAGGCUGGAGAGGCACUAGAGCCCGCUGAGGAUGUCCGGCCCUCGCACUCUCUGGCUGCCCUGGGUGCACCCACCUGCCAAAUGCAGACUUCUCAGCACCCCUCAAGCCUGCCUGAUUCCCCUGCUGGGAAGAGCACGCCAGCACUCCUGACCUGGAGCUGUCCUUCUCAGCACGUGGUCUCAGAGAGCGGGCGGUGGGUGAGACCAUGCGGGGGUCGUUGGGUAUAAAAUGGAUUGAUCUUGAGCUGUGGUUCAUCUCCGUGAGCACCAGAGCGUGGAGCUAAAAGAUGGCUUCAUCUACGGAGGACAAAAUUUACUUUCAAUAUCUCACUUUAUGGGGGAUAUGAACUGUGAGUUUAGGAGCCAAGUCCAGCAUGCUAAAAAUCUUCCAAGCUGUUUCAUUUUCUUAUCUCCAAGGAACCGGUGAGAAUAUGUGGGUAAGUAUUGGAAUCUGACACGUACAGCUCAUAGGCAGAUGGGAUCCUUCAAGGUGGUUUAGACGCGUCCUCUGGGCUGGCAGCAAAUCACUUCUGGGCUCCACUGUUUGCCACCUUUGCUGUGGAACACAGCGGAACCUGCAGCAUCUGGGCUGGGAUUGGACUUCAGAGGGUGCACAUGUGGUUUUUGUGGGCAGUUUUUCUCAGUGGCCUUUUUAUUGAGGAAUAACAUACAUACGGAAAGGUUCCCAAAUCAUAGAUGUAUGGCUUGAUGCAUUUUAAAAAGUGGACACACCCUGAAACUUCCAUCCAGACAAAGAGACAUGGUGUUUGCAGCACCCCAUCUCGCAGGCCCCCUUAGAGGGAACCGCUAUUCUGACUUUCAUGACCGUGAAUGAGGUUUGCCUGGGAUUGAACUUUACAUACAUGAAAUCGUAAGCUAUGGACCCUUUAGUGUCUGGCUUCUUUUGCUCAAGUUAGAUUUGUGAGAUUCGUCUAGAUCAUUAUGGGCAGAAAUUCUUUCUUUCUCCAUGGCUGUCUUCGAUGGUCUGAGUACACUUCUUUUUAAACAAAUUUAAUUUAAUUUUAAGUUCCGGUAUCCGUGUGUGGGACGUGCAGGUUUGUUACAUAGGUAAAUGUGUGCCAUGGUGGUUUGCUGCACCCAUCAGCCCAUCACCCAGGUAUUAAGCCCAGCACACAUUCGCUAUUUAUCCUGCUUGAGGGUCUCUCUCUUCUCACGCAUGAACAGCGUUGUUCUUUUGCAUAGUUCAGGGCUGUGGGGCAUAGUGUGGCCCCGCGUUCAUGUGCGUGUCUCAUGGUGAACACAGGCAGGCGUUGGGCAUAAAUCCAACCAUCACACAUGCAUUGCAAAUAUCUACUCACAGUUUCUGGCUUAGUUUUAAUUCUCUUAACAGUGUCCCUUGAUAAACAGGCAUUCUUAACUUUAACAAAGUCCAAAGUUUCCAUCUUUCCAUUAGUCUUCAGAAAAAUAAGUAGCAUUUAACAAUUCUAUUUUCUAUUUGUGUUACUGGUAUAUUGGGAUACAAUGUUUCAUGCUAACCACAUAUCUUGUGUCUUGCUAAAUUCUCAUAUUAACUGUAACAAUUUAGCUGUAGAUUCUUUUGGAUUUUCUACAUGCACAAUUGUGUUACCUGUAACUAAUUACAGUUUCAUGUCUUUAUUUCCAGUCCCAUACUUUUGCUUUCCUUUCCUACCUUCUCAUCCUGGCCUGGGCCUCCACCACCACAUUUGACAGAAAUGAAAAUAGCAGACUCUUGUCUCAUUCCUGACAUCAGGGGAAAACUUUUGACAUUUUAUCAGGAAGUGUGUUGGCUGUAGGCUUUAGGCUUUUUGAUGAUAUCUGUAUCAUAUUAAGAAAGUUACUUUCUCAGACUUCUUUUACUUUUACAGCCUGGGCAACAGAGCAAGACUCCAUCUCACACACACACACACACACACACAAAGUUAUUUUCUCGGACUUUUUAUCCUGAAGAGUGUUGAAUUUUAUCAAUGCUUUUCCUGAAUUUACUGAGAUUAUUAAAUGGUUUUUCUUUUUUAUUCUUUUAAUGUAAUGCAUUACAUUUGUUGAUUUUCAAAUAUUAAACUAACUCUUUAUUUUUGUAAUGAACCCAA